Molecule: ribosomal RNA, 510 nt
Filed under: uncultured bacterium
Lineage: Bacteria
Description: bacterial SSU rRNA
Rfam family: Bacterial small subunit ribosomal RNA
Source: RNAcentral
AGCAGAGAUGCUUUGGUGCCUUCGGGAACUCUGAGACAGGUGCUGCAUGGCUGUCGUCAGCUCGUGUUGUGAAAUGUUGGGUUAAGUCCCGCAACGAGCGCAACCCUUAUCCUUUGUUGCCAGCGGUCCGGCCGGGAACUCAAAGGAGACUGCCAGUGAUAAACUGGAGGAAGGUGGGGAUGACGUCAAGUCAUCAUGGCCCUUACGAGUAGGGCUACACACGUGCUACAAUGGCGCAUACAAAGAGAAGCGACCUCGCGAGAGCAAGCGGACCUCAUAAAGUGCGUCGUAGUCCGGAUUGGAGUCUGCAACUCGACUCCAUGAAGUCGGAAUCGCUAGUAAUCGUAGAUCAGAAUGCUACGGUGAAUACGUUCCCGGGCCUUGUACACACCGCCCGUCACACCAUGGGAGUGGGUUGCAAAAGAAGUAGGUAGCUUAACCUUCGGGAGGGCGCUUACCACUUUGUGAUUCAUGACUGGGGUGAAGUCGUAACAAGGUAAGCGUAGCGAG